UUGCCGUAGGAUGGGACUGCGGCCUAUCAGUUUGUUGGUGAGGUAAUGGCCCACCAAGACUAUUACAGGUACGGGCUCUGAGAGGAGUAGCCCGGAGAUGGGUACUGAGACACGGACCCAGGCCCUAUGGGGCGCAGCAGGCGAGAAAACUUUGCAAUGUGCGAAAGCACGACAAGGUUAAUCCGAGUGGUUUCUGCUAAAGGAACCUUUUGUCAGUCCUAGAAACACUGAUGAAUAAGGGGUGGGCAAGUUCUGGUGUCAGCCGCCGCGGUAAAACCAGCACCUCAAGUGGUCAGGAUGAUUAUUGGGCCUAAAGCAUCCGUAGCCUGCUUUGUAAGUUUUCGGUUAAAUCCAUACGCUCAACGUAUGGGCUGCCGGGAAUACUGCAAAGCUAGGGAGUGGGAGAGGUAGACGGUACUCGGUAGGAAGGGGUAAAAUCCUUUGAUCUAUUGAUGACCACCUGUGGCGAAGGCGGUCUACCAGAACACGUCCGACGGUGAGGGAUGAAAGCUGGGGGAGCAAACCGGAUUAGAUACCCGGGUAGUCCCAGCUGUAAACUAUGCAAACUCAGUGAUGCAUUGGCUUGAUGCCAAUGCAGUGCUGCAGGGAAGCCGUUAAGUUUGCCGCCUG
RNAcentral lists this ribosomal RNA (630 nucleotides) under uncultured archaeon. RNAcentral describes it as "bacterial SSU rRNA". It matches the Rfam family "Archaeal small subunit ribosomal RNA", at positions 199 to 830 of the family's 1478-position model. The record is from RNAcentral.